Molecule: long non-coding RNA, 335 nt
Organism: Homalodisca vitripennis (glassy-winged sharpshooter)
Lineage: Eukaryota; Metazoa; Arthropoda; Insecta; Hemiptera; Cicadellidae
Exons: 3
Source: RefSeq, a predicted model, not a curated record
AUAUCUGGAAUUAGGUUUCUUGCUCACUUCUCUUCUGGCGUCAGUAGGGCGAGGACAUCUUGGAGUUUCUGUGGUCGGAGUUUAUGAUCAAAGCUGGCUGCCCGUUCCCUCGACGAACCGGCUCGGUGUUUUGGUGUUAAUAUCGUGGGCCCUACCUUCCAAUCAACGUUUCACGACCUCGUUUAAUAUUUAGGACCCUGUCGUUCCAAAUUCGGUGUACGAAUUACGUCGCAGUAUUGAUAGGCAAUCAGGAGACGAGCUGCCUGGUAAACGAGAUGUGAGUUUUGAUGUACAAUCAGGAGACGGGCCGCCUGGUAAACGAGAUGUGAGUUUUG